UGAGGAGUCGGCGGGGGUCGACAUGGGUCUCUGGUCACGAUUCAGGACGAGGUAUAUUGUUAAAUAAGGUACACUGUCCUGUCAGUAGGGAGGCGAGAAUCUGUUCUGAUACUGGUACUGAACUCAAAGUGCGCCAGCAGCUGUGUGAGGGAACUGCUGCUGACUUGGCGUCUCUUGAUCAGCUGUAAUGCAUCGCGACGGACAUCAGCGGUCAGUACUCCCUGUGAAGAGUGCAGCUGUUGGAGUUUGCCAGCAGACACCUUCAUGCUACAUAAUGUACAUCAAGGAACUUCAGUACUACACGGCCCCUGGGAGUGGGCAACAUCAACAAGCACCAUGGAAUAUUGUAUAUUCAACAAAGAGUAGAUGAAAUAUUAUAGCUGUAGUUGCUAGUAUGUUUUAGUUUAGUUCUGUUAUCCACACUGAUAUCAUACUCAACA
Long non-coding RNA from Schistocerca cancellata (South American locust), 440 nucleotides. RefSeq lists it as uncharacterized. The record is from RefSeq and is a predicted model, not a curated record. Lineage: Eukaryota; Metazoa; Arthropoda; Insecta; Orthoptera; Acrididae. The transcript has 3 exons.